Molecule: unclassified non-coding RNA, 1031 nt
Filed under: Haliotis rufescens (red abalone)
Lineage: Eukaryota; Metazoa; Mollusca; Gastropoda; Lepetellida; Haliotidae
Description: phytanoyl-CoA hydroxylase-interacting protein-like, transcript variant X1
Source: RNAcentral
UAUAUAUAACACUGGAGUGACUUUCAUACGUCAAAGGGCUCAAGUUGGCGUGAGCGAACAAUGCACAAGUAGUUGUGCACACAGUUACAAAUAUACCAGCCAUAUCAAGUGAUCAAGAUAUAAUCGACUAUGGGCCAGAAUAUCUAGAUCUGCGGCAGCUGCUACAUAAAGUCGAUGAAUACUGCGAUGGAGGGAUGGAGGUACAUGGGGAGAUGCUCUCUAUCGCACAAAAAUCAUCCUCUUUAGAAAUAUUUGAAUAUCAUGGACCUUCACACGUGGACGGUGGAGUGACACACGAUGUCCAAUCAAAGGGUGAGCCUAUUUGCGAAAGUUGCUACGUAAAGCCGAAGAACACUGUGAUGGAGACGACUAUGACCAGGUGUCUGAGCUCUACCGAAACAAGCCAUUCCUUCUUCAAAAAGAUUCGUAGACAUCACGGUAACAUCAUGGUGCCGUUUGCUUAGUACGACGGAGGGGAUCCGCGCUGUCCAAUAAACGGGAGACUUAAUGGUCUCUUCUUUGGGGUGACGCUGUACAGGGGUGAUCUUCCAGACAUGUCGCCGUUUGACAGUCCCACUUGAUGAACUAUUUGAUGAUGCAGCAAACCUGUACUUUGCUGAUUUCUACUGCAAGCCUUCACGCAAACACACGCAUUACGUGACCUUGGAACUUACAGAUGCGGGAUCUGACGCAGACCGUUUCUGAAGGCGACACCUCAUCCAGUUCGAUUCGUACAACCAUUAUUUGCGGAAAGAUGUAUUUUCUGACACAUACAUGACACUGUACCAAUCUGAAGUGCAGGUGCAUAUACCUGUAUCAAAUACAUAUACAUGUAUAUCACUAUCGAGUAACCAUAUCUUGUUUGUUUCACCAUACGAUUGUAUACUUUCGUUUGUCCGGCAGUAUAUAUAUAUGUAAGUGUACAAGUAGGAAACUGCGGUUCGUACCUCCAGUAUGACGAUUUGUUCUACUCCUUCAAUGAGCAUACAUACGCCUCACAUAUAUUUGUGUUAAAUAUUAGAACAAUAUGA